This 528-nucleotide ribosomal RNA is filed under the name uncultured bacterium. Its description in RNAcentral is "bacterial SSU rRNA". It matches the Rfam family "Bacterial small subunit ribosomal RNA", at positions 777 to 1304 of the family's 1533-position model. The record is from RNAcentral.
AAUAGAUACCCUGUAGUCCACGCCGUAAACGAUGAGUGCUAAGUGUUAGAGGGUUUCCGCCCUUUAGUGCUGCAGCUAACGCAUUAAGCACUCCGCCUGGGGAGUACGGCCGCAAGGCUGAAACUCAAAGGAAUUGACGGGGGCCCGCACAAGCGGUGGAGCAUGUGGUUUAAUUCGAAGCAACGCGAAGAACCUUACCAGGUCUUGACAUCCUCUGCCAACCCUAGAGAUAGGGCGUUCCCCUUCGGGGGACAGAGUGACAGGUGGUGCAUGGUUGUCGUCAGCUCGUGUCGUGAGAUGUUGGGUUAAGUCCCGCAACGAGCGCAACCCUUGAUCUUAGUUGCCAGCAUUCAGUUGGGCACUCUAAGGUGACUGCCGGUGACAAACCGGAGGAAGGUGGGGAUGACGUCAAAUCAUCAUGCCCCUUAUGACCUGGGCUACACACGUGCUACAAUGGAUGGUACAAAGAGCUGCGAACCCGCGAGGGUAAGCCAAUCUCAUAAAGCCAUUCUCAGUUCGGAUUGUAGG